Astyanax mexicanus (Mexican tetra) is the source of this 3496-nucleotide long non-coding RNA. RefSeq lists it as uncharacterized. The record is from RefSeq and is a predicted model, not a curated record. NCBI's taxonomy places the organism in Eukaryota, Metazoa, Chordata, Actinopteri, Characiformes, Acestrorhamphidae. The transcript has 9 exons.
AUGUGGGAAAAUCUUUUAAAUGGUUUCUAUUUUUUCCAGAGCUGCAUUUUGGGCUAGUUUAAACUUCUAAAGGGCAGGUUUUUGACUGACUUUGGGCUGAAUGUUUUUGUUGAACCUGGCAACCCUGAGCUGGGUCCUGUAGCAGCGUUGUGUGAACCUCAGUGCGUGGUGCUUUUGAAGGAGCGCGCUGCGGCGGGAAAUUCAAAUAUUCUGGCGGUUGGUGGAGGCCUGACAGGAUUUACAGUGCCUUUCCCCAGUUCCCGGAUCACCUCAUAGUACUUGUUGACCUCAACCUUCUCCAGGUUCUGGGCUGCAAACACCUGCAGCUCCUCUAGGAUGUCCACAGACACACGAGAGCCAACCGGAGAGGAACUCAUGCUUCCACAGGAGCAGUUCCAGCUGUCCAAAUCUCAGCUUUACUGCAUAUAACAGAAGAAAGAGUGGCACUGUGGAACUCAGCGCAGGAACAAGCCAUCACACUUAAUCAGCCAUUACAUAAUCAGCCUGGUAUAAAAUGUUCUGCGGCUUCUCCUGCUCAAUCUCUCUGCCUGUCCCUUCAACAACCUACAGCACAGGUUUACAUCCUCCUUUAUUUCAGCUCCCUAACCAGUACGUAGCUCACAUUUAAGGGCAAAAGAAACAUAAAAGGCCUUAUAUUCUAACAGUAUUCUUCAGUUUCUGAAUUAGUUUAUUUGAUUCUGCUAUUUAUAGGUAUAUGUUUGAUUAAAAUGAACGUUGUUGUUUUAUUCUAUAAACUACAUUUUUCCCAAAUUCCAAAUAAAAACAUUGUCAUUUAGAGCAUUGUCAUCUUAGAAAUUGAGAAAAGGUUGAAAUAAAGACCUCAAAUAAUGCAAAGAAAACAAGUUUAUAUUAAUCUCAUUCAAGUUUUAAGAGUUCAAAAAUCUAUAUUUGGUGGAAUAACCCUGGUUUUUAAUCAGUUUUAAUGCAUUUCUGUAUGUUCUCCUCCACCAGUCUUACACACUGCUUUUGCAUAACUUCAUGCCACUCCAGGUGCAAGAAUUCAAGCAGUUCAGCUUGGUUCGAUUGCUUGUGGUCUAUCUAUCCUCCUCUUGAUUAUAUUCCAGAGGUUUUCAAUUUGGUAAAUGCAUUUUUAAAUGGUCUCUUCCUUUUUUACAUAGCUGUAUAUCUAAUAUACCUAUAUUUGUUUAAUUGUAACCUGGAGAUAUAUUUGUGUGAGUUUAUGAGCCAAAACAGUACUAAUUUUUGUUUUGAUGGCUUAAGCUGUAGUGGAAAAAAAACUUUUAAAACACUUAGUUUAAUUUACUAGCACACACUAAACGUACACUGUCACUGUUAUCGUGUGAUGUUUAACAAACUAUUUAUUUACAACUGACAUAUGCAAAUGACCUCUAAUCUGUUUGUCUUUUGUUUUGAGUUUUGUUUGUUUUUUUCAGUUUUGGGUAAUUUAGAGGUGAUGCUCACUGCAACACCAGGUGAUGCACUACGCAUUUCCGGCGCUCCGCCCACGCGGACCACGCACAGCGUGUAGGACACCAUGUGUCCGUGUAGGAGGCUCGUGAAAAAUUAUCCUAAUAAAGCCCUUCCCCUCCGCCCAGUGAUCCGAUCAUUACACCUCAAUCUCAGGUUCAGCAGCACCUGUGACUGGACUUGUGUAUGGACUGUGUUGGUUGGUUGGUUGACAUGACGGUGAAAGGCAUGAAGACUCGAGGCGGAAAAGAGAGACGUCGUUUGCAGUGCAAAGUCCAGCUCAUUGGCUGACAAGUGGAUGAAGUGCCGCUCCCGUUUCACUGUGGUCUUGACUUCCACAAACACCUCUCGUGUGCCGUUCUGGCCGUUUGCGAAGGUCAGCUUGAAGUCACAAGGUUGGCCGGUUUCACCACUUUGGUUGUACCAGACGACCUCACUGGGUCCGCUGCCGGUGUCUCUCCAGUGUGUGAGGAAAGAGUAGACCAGCUGCUCUCCCCAUUUGCCGAUAUCAGUUGUGUCAUCAAAGUCCUCCGCCAGCUGCAGGGAUUGAGGCAGGCUGCAGUCCAGCACAAGGUCUUCCAGAACGGCUUCUGCGGUCAAUGGUUUGGUCCACACCGCACUGUCCAGUGGAAUGAGUGGACGCUGAGGACUGCCUCCCUGGAACUGGCUUGUGAUUAUCUCUGGAGCUUGAACUGCGACUAACCUGAGUGAGGGGCGCAGCCACUUGCCCUGGGGACAGGAGCACUAGGAGCUCCUGAUGGAGUGCUGUGUUGUUGGAACUCUCCCGUAUUCCCCUGAGAGCUCACACUGGAGGGGGUCCUCUCUGCUCCAGAGCCCCGCUGAGCUGGAACCGCUGAGGAAGUUGGAGGUGCUGGAGGAGGCCACAUCUUCAUCACUGCAUCCACAGCCUGACUUCCUGCUCCUACAUGCACAAAACCAAACAGGAAAGACACGUAAAAGACAUUUUAUGCAUGGUCUACAACAACCCUGUACCUGUGCUGCUCCCUCCUGUUUUACCAAGCGAUGCUCUGGGAGGCCAGCAGUGCAACUUAUCAUCUUCAUCCUCCUCAGUCUUCUUCUCUACUUCCUGCACACUUGCAGCUCCAGAUGCGAGGCUGGUGGGCACUGCCAAGAGAAUCACCAGCCAUCAACACAGCUUAAUCAUCAGCAACAGUAAUAUCACGUCACCACAACUGGCUGCUACUGCUUUCUGUAAUUUUGUAAAAAAAAAAAAAAAUUGUAGUAUUUAGCUAUGGAAACACUGCAUGGUUUACUACUGACGAGUUCAGAAGAUACAAGGAUACCGGCAUAAAAAUCAUGAGACAGAAACAAGUAUCAAGUCCAAUGACCUUUGGCGUGUCUCUAGAAAGCUAAAACUACUGUACUGACCUGUCUCCAGCAUUAAAUGGGCAUGGCAUUUCUGUCAGACUCUGUCGGUCACAAUUAUUACCACCCACUGCGCUGUCCACUGUGUGUGGUAAUUCAUUUUAUGAUGUAUUUACGGUAUUUACCGGACACUGUGGAUCAAGAAAUGUUCAUUUCUGUUCCAUAAAUCUGCACACUCUAUCAGACCUGAUAAUUCAGGUCUCUUUGUCAUGAGCUCUCUGGCCAGUCCUCAACCUCACUCACAAGACAAAACCUAAAAACUUUACGAUCAGUUUACCAACUGCUGUCCCAUGACUUUCUGCAUUUUAGGUGUAUUUCAGUGCUAUAUUUUGCAGCCCUAGUUGUUGUAUGUAUGGCUGUUGUUUAGCUAAAGCAUGCAUGUGCAUAAAGCGUACAGGAGGGAUGUUCCCCUUUGCUGUCUUGAAACUAAGGCAACAGCUGCGCUUUCAUGCCAGCAAGCACAGCGAUGAAACAAAUCCCUAUUAGCAUAUGUAGCCCGCGUGUCCACGUGCAUGCAUGAAUGGAAGAUGAAAAGGAGGGAAAAUAACAGACCGCUGGAAAAGACUAGGAGAAUUCUGGGAUUAAAGCAGCAGUGCAUGUCUGAAUUGCAAAUGUGUCACAGAUGCGACUUCAAAACCAUGAGAAACAUCAAGAGAACAUG